GUAGGUGAACCUGCGGAAGGAUCAUAACACGUAUCCAACGUUAAAACCCCUGUGAACUUUCAGCCUGCUCUUGCAGCCCGUGACGCAGCAAUUCCGGUAAAUCAAGUGGGAGGAACAGUUUGAUUUGCCCACAUAGAUAAAACAGUUACAAUUGAGCGGUAGAAGCAGUGGCAUGAAUGACAGUCACUGGAACAGUGUAAGGAUAGCGCUUCUCGGUUGGGUCGAUCACCGGCAAACAUGUCAACGCGCCCCUAAACACCCCUCUGAAAUGUUGACGCCCCGAUGAAAAUCCGGGUGAGAAAAAACCGAACAACUGUUAGCAAUGGAUAUCUUGGUUCUC
RNAcentral lists this unclassified non-coding RNA (340 nucleotides) under rhizosphere metagenome. RNAcentral describes it as "partial ribosomal RNA internal transcribed spacer region". The record is from RNAcentral.